Molecule: long non-coding RNA, 618 nt
Organism: Equus caballus (horse)
Lineage: Eukaryota; Metazoa; Chordata; Mammalia; Perissodactyla; Equidae
Source: RefSeq, a predicted model, not a curated record
UGGGAACUGCGGUCAGGUGGAAAGUGAUUCUGUUCUCUGCCGAGGCGGCUUGAAGUGUCAGCCCACUGUGUAACACCAAGAAGCAUCCUGACCCUGCCUGGAUCGACGCGAGGGCAGCUGAGGCUGAGGCAAGAUGCUCUGACAAGUCACGGAAACAUCAAGAUUUAAACUGAGUAUCACAGCAUAAACAACAUAUUUCCAGCAUUCAGACUCUGUGAUUCUUCCUAUCGGUAUAUUUAAGAUUUCAGGAUCCCAUCCAGGAUAACAUAUUACAUUUAUUGUCAUGUUUACUUGGGCUGCUCUCCGCCGUGCGACAGUUUCUCAGACUUUCCUUAUUGUUAGCCUUUUUGACUGCUGACUGCCAAUGCUGAGAAUAGCGCCUGCCAUAUACCAGCUGGACGGGACUUCUGUAAUUUCACCCUCUCAUUUCACAAGUGAGGAUGCAAAAGCUGAAAGUGACUGAGUAGCUUCCCAAAGUCAACACCAGGCUGAUGAUAAGAGGAAAGUUUUGAUCUUAGGUAUUUUGGCUUCCAUUCCAGUGUUCUCUCACUUCAUCGAAUUGUGUGUCUAAUACCUGAAUCAAAGGAGUUUGAAUUGAGUUGUUAUUCUAAUAAUAAA